RNAcentral lists this ribosomal RNA (241 nucleotides) under uncultured bacterium. Its description in RNAcentral is "partial 16S ribosomal RNA". It matches the Rfam family "Bacterial small subunit ribosomal RNA", at positions 96 to 334 of the family's 1533-position model. The record is from RNAcentral.
UGGCGAACGGGUGAGUAACGCGUGAGUAACCUGCCCUAGAGUGGGGGGACAACAGUUGGAAACGACUGCUAAUACCGCAUAAGCCCACGGUACCGCAUGGCACUGAGGGAAAAGGAUUUAUUCGCUUUAGGAUGGACUCGCGUCCAAUUAGCUAGUUGGUGAGGUAACGGCCCACCAAGGCGACGAUUGGUAGCCGGACUGAGAGGUUGAACGGCCACAUCGGGACUGAGACACGGCCCAG